AGAGUUUGAUCCUGGCUCAGAACGAACGCUGGCGGCGUGCUUAACACAUGCAAGUCGAACGCGAAAGGGACUUCGGUCCUGAGUAAAGUGGCGCACGGGUGAGUAACGCGUAGAUAACCUGUCUUUGUGUCUGGAAUAAUACUUCGAAAGGGGUACUAAUACCGGAUAACCUUGCUUUUCACAAGUUAUGCAAGCAAAGGUGGCCUCUGAUACAAGCUACUGCAUGAAGAGGGGUCUGCGUACCAUUAGCUAGUAGGUGGGGUAAUGGCCUACCUAGGCGACGAUGGUUAGCGGGUCUGAGAGGAUGAUCCGCCACACUGGCACUGGAACACGGGCCAGACUCCUACGGGAGGCAGCAGUGAGGAGUAUUGCGCAAUGGGGGCAACCCUGACGCAGCGACGCCGCGUGAGUGAGGAAGGCCUUCGGGUCGUAAAGCUCUGUCAAGAGGAAAGAAGUGCAUAAUGGUUAAUACCUGUUAUGUUUGACGGUACCUCUAAAGGAAGCACCGGCUAACUCCGUGCCAGCAGCCGCGGUAAUACGGAGGGUGCAAGCGUUGUUCGGAAUCACUGGGCGUAAAGGGCGCGCAGGCGGUAUGGUAAGUCAGAUGUGAAAGCCCACGGCUUAACCGUGGAAGGGCAUUUGAAACUGCCAGACUUGAGUACCAGAGGGGAAAGUGGAAUUCCCGGUGUAGAGGUGAAAUUCGUAGAUAUCGGGAGGAAUACCGGUGGCGAAGGCGACUUUCUGGCUGAGUACUGACGCUGAGGCGCGAAAGCGUGGGGAGCAAACAGGAUUAGAUACCCUGGUAGUCCAUGCCGUAAACGAUGUCAACUAGAUGCAGGGGGUGUUGAUCCCCUCUGUGUCGCAGCUAACGCAUUAAGUUGACCGCCUGGGGAGUACGGUCGCAAGAUUAAAACUCAAAGGAAUUGACGG
This 930-nucleotide ribosomal RNA is filed under the name uncultured bacterium. RNAcentral describes it as "bacterial SSU rRNA". It matches the Rfam family "Bacterial small subunit ribosomal RNA", at positions 8 to 916 of the family's 1533-position model. The record is from RNAcentral.